AAGGAGCAGAUCGAGAAGGAGAAGACGCAGGGUGUUGACAUCGCGGCGUACGGGUCCUCCAAGGUGGUGUCGACGCAGGCGCCCGUGCAGCUGGGCUCCCUCCGCGCCGCCGACGGCAAGGAGGGCCUCUGAGGCCAUGGACUGUGACUGAUGGCUUUGCUUGGUUCAGCACUGCAUACACACGGAAUUGUUGGAAGAUAGAGUUUUGGCAGCAACCAUACCGUUUUGCCCCUUCUGAGAUUGGAGACGAUCUUGUUCUAGCAUUCAGCGCCCCAUUAUAAAUUUUGGUGCCAUCUUGUUAAUUGCAUGUAUGUGUUCACUUUCAGUCUUUCACC
RNAcentral lists this long non-coding RNA (335 nucleotides) under Setaria italica (foxtail millet). Its description in RNAcentral is "long non-coding RNA (SITA_LNC004322)". Lineage: Eukaryota; Viridiplantae; Streptophyta; Magnoliopsida; Poales; Poaceae. The record is from RNAcentral.